Nomascus leucogenys (northern white-cheeked gibbon) is the source of this 281-nucleotide non-coding RNA. It matches the Rfam family "Metazoan signal recognition particle RNA". Rfam says of the family: The signal recognition particle (SRP) is a universally conserved ribonucleoprotein. It is involved in the co-translational targeting of proteins to membranes. Lineage: Eukaryota; Metazoa; Chordata; Mammalia; Primates; Hylobatidae. The record is from Rfam.
GCUAGGCAUGGUGGCACGCGUCUGUAGUCCCAACUACUUGGAAGGAUUUCUUGAGCCUGAGAGUUCUGGGCUGUAGUGUGCUAUAUCAACCGGGUGUCUGCACUAAGUUUGGCAUCAAUAUGGUGAUUUCCCAGGAGCAGGGGACCUCCAGGUUGUUUAAGGAGGGGUUGAAGCAGCCCAGGUCAGAAAUGGAGGAGCAGGUCAAAACUCCUGUGAUGAUCAGUAGCAGGAUUAUGCCUAUGAGUAGCCACUGCACACCAGCCUGGACAACAUAGCAAGAC